Molecule: ribosomal RNA, 253 nt
Filed under: uncultured bacterium
Lineage: Bacteria
Description: partial 16S ribosomal RNA
Rfam family: Bacterial small subunit ribosomal RNA
Source: RNAcentral
UACGUAGGGGGCUAGCGUUGUUCGGAAUUACUGGGCGUAAAGCGCGCGUAGGCGGCUUUGUAAGUUAGAGGUGAAAGCCUGGAGCUCAACUCCAGAACUGCCUUUAAGACUGCAUCGCUAGAAUCGUGGAGAGGUGAGUGGAAUUCCGAGUGUAGAGGUGAAAUUCGUAGAUAUUCGGAAGAACACCAGUGGCGAAGGCGACUCACUGGACACGUAUUGACGCUGAGGUGCGAAAGCGUGGGGAGCAAACAGG